AGCUCCAAUAGCGUAUAUUAAAGUUGUUGCAGUUAAAAAGCUCGUAGUUGAAUUUUGGGACUGGCUGGCCGGUCCGCCUCACGGCGAGUACUGGUCUGGCCGGUCCUUCCCUUCUGGCGAGCCGUCAUGUCCUUCACUGGGUGUGGCGGGGAACCAGGACGUUUACCUUGAAAAAAUUAGAGUGUUCAAAGCAGGCCUAUGCUCGAAUACAUUAGCAUGGAAUAAUAGAAUAGGACGUGUGGUUCUAUUU
Molecule: ribosomal RNA, 250 nt
Filed under: uncultured Ascomycota
Lineage: Eukaryota; Fungi; Ascomycota
Description: partial small subunit ribosomal RNA
Rfam family: Eukaryotic small subunit ribosomal RNA
Source: RNAcentral